CAGAGGGGGCAAGCGUUGUUCGGAAUUACUGGGCGUAAAAGGCGCGUAGGCGGCCUGUUAAGUCGAACGUGAAAUCCCCGGGCUCAACCCGGGAACUGCGUCCGAUACUGGUAGGCUUGAAUUCGGGAGAGGGAUGUGGAAUUCCAGGUGUAGCGGUGAAAUGCGUAGAUAUCUGGAGGAACACCGGUGGCGAAGGCGGCAUCCUGGACCGAUAUUGACGCUGAUGCGCGAAAGCCAGGGGAGCAAACGGGAUUAGAUACCCCGGUAGUCCUGGCCCUAAACGAUGAAUGCUUGGUGUGGCGGGUAUCGAUCCCUGCCGUGCCGAAGCUAACGCAUUAAGCAUUCCGCCUGGGGAGUACGGUCGCAAGGCUG
Molecule: ribosomal RNA, 372 nt
Filed under: uncultured organism
Description: bacterial SSU rRNA
Rfam family: Bacterial small subunit ribosomal RNA
Source: RNAcentral